CGGAUAACACAGAUAAGAGAUACUGAUUGUAUAUCUCAAUGGUCAUUUUCUGGGCUUGGGAAUCAGAAGCAGCGGUUCUUUCUUUUGCAGUGUUACUCCAAACUUUUCAGUCAUGUCUAGCUCAGUGGGACGUUCUCUGUGAGGAAGCUCCCAAUCAAAGAAAUGAACAAGCGAAGCAAGGACUAAGGGAAUUAUUAUUGCAGCCAUUGGCAGGCCUGGG
This 220-nucleotide unclassified non-coding RNA is filed under the name Hevea brasiliensis (rubber tree). The record is from RNAcentral. Lineage: Eukaryota; Viridiplantae; Streptophyta; Magnoliopsida; Malpighiales; Euphorbiaceae.